RNAcentral lists this ribosomal RNA (253 nucleotides) under uncultured bacterium. RNAcentral's name for it is "partial 16S ribosomal RNA". It matches the Rfam family "Bacterial small subunit ribosomal RNA", at positions 524 to 776 of the family's 1533-position model. RNAcentral also lists the same sequence under 1 other name. The record is from RNAcentral.
UACGGGGGGGGCAAGCGUUGUUCGGAAUUACUGGGCGUAAAGGGCUCGUAGGCGGCCAACUAAGUCAGACGUGAAAUCCCCAGGCUCAACCUGGGAACUGCGUCUGAUACUGGAUGGCUUGAAUUCGGGAGAGGGAUGCAGAAUUCCAGGUGUAGCGGUGAAAUGCGUAGAUAUCUGGAGGAAUACCGGUGGCGAAGGCGGCAUCCUGGACCGACAUUGACGCUGAUGAGCGAAAGCUAGGGGAGCAAACGGG